GUGCCAGCAGCCGCGGUAAUACAGAGGGUGCAAGCAUUAAUCGGAUUUAUUGGGCGUAAAGAGCGCGUAGGCGGGUUUUUAAGUCAGAUGUGAAAUCCCGGGGCUCAACCCCGGAACAGCAUUUGAAACUGAAAAUCUUGAGGGUAGUCGGAGAAAAUGGAAUUCCACGUGUAGCGGUGAAAUGCGUAGAUAUGUGGAAGAACACCGGUGGCGAAGGCGAUUUUCUAGAUUAUUCCUGACGCUGAGGCGCGAAAGCAAGGGGAUCAAACAGGAUUAGAUACCCUGGUAGUCCUUGCCGUAAACUAUGUAUACUUGGUGUAACUGGACUCAACCCUAGUUGUGCCGAAGCUAACGCGAUAAGUAUACCGCCUGAGGAGUACGCUCGCAAGGGUGAAACUCAAAGAAAUUGGCGG
RNAcentral lists this ribosomal RNA (413 nucleotides) under uncultured bacterium. RNAcentral describes it as "bacterial SSU rRNA". It matches the Rfam family "Bacterial small subunit ribosomal RNA", at positions 505 to 916 of the family's 1533-position model. The record is from RNAcentral.